Molecule: ribosomal RNA, 499 nt
Filed under: uncultured bacterium
Lineage: Bacteria
Description: partial 16S ribosomal RNA
Rfam family: Bacterial small subunit ribosomal RNA
Source: RNAcentral
GAUGAACGCUGGCGGCGUGCCUAAUACAUGCAAGUCGAGCGAACAGACGAGAGUUCUUGCACUCUCUGGCGUUAGCGGCGGACGGGUGAGUCGCACGUGGCUAGCCUACCUAUAAGAGUGGGAUAACUUCGGGAAACCGGAGCUACUACCAGAUAAUCUUUAGCUUCGCAUGAGGCAAUAGUGAUAGGCGGUUCUGCUGUCGCUUAGAGAUGGACCCGCGGGGUAUUAGCUAGUUGGUGAGGUAACGGCUCACCAAGGCAACGAUAGAUAGCCGACCUGAGAGGGGGGUAGGCGACACUGGGACGGAGACGCGGCCCAGACGCCUGCGGGAGGCAGCAGUAGGGAAUGUGACGCAAUGGUGGAAAGUAUGACGGAGCAAUGCCGCGUGAGUGACGAAGGUGUCCGGAGCGUAAUACUCUGUUGUAAGGGAAGAACAAGUACGGUAGUAACUGAACGGACCUUGACGGUAACUGAUAAGAAAGCCACGGCUAACUACGUG